AUGUUCAGAUUAGCCAUGCAUGUCUCAGUAUAAGCUUCUCUACGGCGAAACUGCGAAUGGCUCAUUAAAACAGUUAUAGUUUAUUUGGUGGUCAGCAAUUACACGGAUAACCGUGGUAAUUCUAGAGCUAAUACAUGCGCCCAAACCCGACUUCGUGGAAGGGUUGUGUUUAUUAGAUACAGAACCAACCCAGGCUCCGCCUGGCCUUGAGGUGAUUCAUAAUAACCGAACGAAUCGCAUGGCUAUGCCGGCGAUAGACCAUUCAAGUUUCUGACCUAUCAGCUAUCGUCGGUAGGGUAUUGGCCUACCGUGGCAAUGACGGGUAACGGAGAAUUAGGGUUCGAUUCCGGAGAGGGAGCCUGAGAAACGGCUACCACAUCUAAGGAAGGCAGCAGGCGCGCAAAUUACCCAAUCCUGACGCAGGGAGGUGGUGACAAGAAAUAACAAUACAGGGCAUACAUGUCUUGUAAUUGGAAUGAGUAAACUUUAAAUCACUUUAC
RNAcentral lists this ribosomal RNA (500 nucleotides) under uncultured eukaryote. Its description in RNAcentral is "SSU rRNA". It matches the Rfam family "Eukaryotic small subunit ribosomal RNA", at positions 34 to 538 of the family's 1831-position model. The record is from RNAcentral.